Molecule: ribosomal RNA, 379 nt
Filed under: uncultured bacterium
Lineage: Bacteria
Description: partial 16S ribosomal RNA
Rfam family: Bacterial small subunit ribosomal RNA
Source: RNAcentral
CCUACGGGAGGCAGCAGUGGGGGAUAUUGCACAAUGGGGGAAACCCUGAUGCAGCGACGCCGCGUGAGUGAAGAAGUAUUUCGGUAUGUAAAGCUCUAUCAGCAGGGCAGAAAAUGACUGUACCUGACCAAGAAGCACCGGCUAACUACGUGCCAGCAGCCGCGGUAAUACGUGGGGGGCAAGCGUUGUCCGGAUUUACUGGGCGUAAAGGGAGCGUAGGCGGUUAGGUAAGUCUGGUGUGAAAGCCCGGGGCUCAACCCCGGGUCUGCAUUGGAAACUGUGUAACUGGAGUACAGGAGGGGUAGGCGGAAUUCCUGGUGUAGCGGUGAAAUGCGUAGAUAUCAGGAGGAACACCGGCGGCGAAGGCGGCCUGCUGGAC